UAACCAUCCAGCAUUAAAAUAAAUCAUAUAUUGGCUGGUAAUCAGCAUUCAACAGCACAUCAGUCAUAAAAUAGCUAUACUCAGAGCAAAUCAGCUCUAAAAGAACUGCUCUAAAAGCAGCUGAGAUAGUGCUAAUUUAUUGCUGCUACUAGCAACACUGCUAGAAUUUUAUAUCCACAAACUGGCAACACGGGAUUGAGUUGCACAAGAGCGAAUGAGAGAGCACUAUAAAACAGAAACAAAAGUAAUUCUUACUCUCUCAUCCAUUCAACAAAAACAAACCAGUGGUGAAGAAGAAUGGCAAAAAUCUGAGGAUUUAUUUUGUGCUUGGAAAACUAUAAGAACUGGUUUUGUACCUGUUCUUUUACCAAAUAGACCGUUCCGAAGGCGAACAGAUCCGCGGACAAAUCCGGUGCAAAAAUAUGUGGAAUGAAGUUUCCUUGCUCAUCCUGGAGCAUCCGGCUUGGUGUAACUGGUCCUCGGAGGAUGUGCAGACGAGAAGUGGCGAGGUUUUGGUCAUGUUUUGACUAAAAAAUCGGAACAGGUCGAACCGAGACUUUGUCGGAGACGAUGCCGGAUACCUUCAGCGUUGGACAUUGCGGAAGGAUUUAAAGUCUGGAAUGUCCAGUUCUGUGCUUCAAGACCAGCAGUAAUGGAGUGUUCGCUAGGUUGCAGGUCCAGGAGAAGUAUUGGCCGUAAAAAGUUAUGCCGUCGAGCAUCAUUUUGAUUUAGUGUUGGAUGAUUCUAAAUAGUGCAUUAAUUAUCGAAUAAUAAAUUGAUUUGAGUUGUACAAAGUCUAUUUUUCUUCGACGGUGGAAGAUUUUUUCAGAAACAUGAAAGAAAAAUGGAUUUAGACCAUGUUCGUGAUCGGGUGAAACAUCAUCUCGUGUUGUGCAAUCACGUAUGUGAAGCACUUCCCAAACAGGCGAGACGGAACGGGCUCAGGAACCAGCGAAAUCUACUGAAAACAGCAUGAUCAAUAUCCCAAACAAUGUACCUCAGAACAAAAAAUCACAGUCAGUCAGCUGUGUCGGCAACGUAGAAUGUAAACAAUCCGAAAAUAGAAAUGGCUAGAAGGAGAAAAGCAAGAGAGAGAGCAUUUUUUUGCUCUCUCUAUUUUUGACAUUUUGCAGGGGUGGGACACUAACAGUAGGGGCCCUGCACUAAAACAGAAAUAUAAAGUCCAAAUCCAGCUGCAAAUGCGCUGUAAAAGCGCUUUUGAUGCAGAUGUGAAAACACUUUAGCUUUUACCCGCAGCUGGAAAUGCGCUGUUAGUGCUAUACAGUGACUAAAUUUAGUGCUGAAUGGUUACUUGGGUAG
Molecule: long non-coding RNA, 1320 nt
Organism: Culex pipiens pallens (northern house mosquito)
Lineage: Eukaryota; Metazoa; Arthropoda; Insecta; Diptera; Culicidae
Exons: 2
Source: RefSeq, a predicted model, not a curated record